RNAcentral lists this ribosomal RNA (776 nucleotides) under uncultured Neocallimastigales. RNAcentral's name for it is "partial large subunit ribosomal RNA". It matches the Rfam family "Eukaryotic large subunit ribosomal RNA", at positions 19 to 646 of the family's 3401-position model. Lineage: Eukaryota; Fungi; Neocallimastigomycota; Neocallimastigomycetes; Neocallimastigales. The record is from RNAcentral.
CGAGCACGCGCGUGUGGCAUAUCAAUAAGCGGAGGAAAAGAAACUAACUAGGAUUCCCUCAGUAACGGCGAGUGAAGCGGGAAGAGCUCAAAUUUGAAAUCUUCAAGGUUUUACCUUGACGAAUUGUAGUUUAAAGAAGUGUUUUCUGUUAGAGAGGUAGGUAAAAGUUCUUUGGAAUAGGACAUCAUAGAGGGUGAGAAUCCCGUAUUUGACGAUUCUUUCUAGCUUUGUGAUACACUUUCAAAGAGUCGGAUUGUUUGGGAAUGCAGUCCAAAAUGGGUGGUAAAUUUCAUCUAAAGCUAAAUAUUGGCGAGAGACCGAUAGCGAACAAGUACCGUGAGGGAAAGAUGAAAAGAACUUUGAAAAGAGAGUUAAACAGUACGUGAAAUUGUCAAAAGGGAAGCGUUUGACACCAGUGUUGUUUUCCCGAAAAUCAAUUACGAAUGUUUUAGUUUUUGAGGAGUUAUGACUUCAUCGGCUUGCUCCUUUCUUUAUGAAACUUUCUUAUGCACUUUUCGGUUAACAAGUCAACAUCAAUUUCUUUUGUUGUAAAAGGGUAUGAGGAAGGUGGCUUUCUUUUCGGAGAAAGUGUUUAUAGCCUUGUAGCCUCUGCAAUCGGAGAGAUUGAGGUCUGCAGCGUAGAUCCUUCGGGGUUAGAUACGUUUGUGCUAAGUUAUAGCUUUUCAUAGACAACUUGUUGACUAUGUUUAGUCUUGUAGCUUACUCGCUGACGCUAUUUUACCUACGCUUAGGAUGUUGAUGUGAUACUGCGAGCA